This 753-nucleotide non-coding RNA is filed under the name Pan troglodytes (chimpanzee). Lineage: Eukaryota; Metazoa; Chordata; Mammalia; Primates; Hominidae. The record is from RNAcentral.
GGGGUCUCACUAUGCUGCCCAGGCUGGUCUCGAGCUCCUGGCCUCAAGCAGUACUCCUACUUCAGCCUCCCAAGUUAGAGGCUCCUGAACUACAAUGGCAAUGAUCGAAGAAACUGUUGUUGAAAAGUCCACGCCAAAUUCUCGGUAUGUCACUGAAGACAAGGACAUUUUGGGUAGAACCUGGCUGCUAAUCCACUCUUGUCAGGAGGGAAGAUUUUUUCUCUUUCUGUAGUGAGCAACAAGGCCACUCGAUGAAGAAACUGAGGUUCAUGGAAGUUAAAUAACUUGCCCACAGGGCACAACUAGUAGGCAGCUAAGCUAGGACUUCAACUGAGGUCUGUAAGACUUAAAGCACAUGCUAUUCCUGCUCCUCAAUAGCUUUCCUGCUAAGCACCAAGAGACGCUAGGCUGCCAGGAACAUCACAGCAGAGACCACCGUCAAUCAAUGCAUCUCCACCGUCUUUUAGACUUUCUUUUGAAGAAAGAUUUAGCUGCUAAAAGAAAAGAUGAAUAUACAAAAAGGAUAAUACUACCAUAUUUCAUCAUAUUGUCUCGUUUUAAUACAAGAAGACUCAUCCAGCUUAAACAUUUGAUGUUUAAGAAGCUAACCAGCAAGCUGCCCUCUGGGAAUGCAUACCAUCAGGUAUGGAUCAGUGGCCCUGAGAUCAUGUUCAUAACUCAGCAGCUUUGUACAAGCUGUCAAGACUCAGAACAUGGUACCCCAAAGUAUGGCACCUUGGUGUGCUGAGUACU